UGUGCUAAACUGCUGAGGAAGCUUCCUUGAGAAAGAUCUUGUUAAGUGGUCUCAAUCUUGACCUCGAGGAAUGAGGGGAGGGUGAGGUCAAUUAUCCUCUAGUGAAAGUGAGUAUUGGAGUGGAAAAAUAGUUUAAGAAGGAGAAGGAAAAGAGUUAUAAUUAUUGCUGUGUAUUUAUUCAUAUCUCAUGUUUAUUGAAUGUCUCAGGUAGCAUACUAAGUGCCUUGAAUGUGUUUUUAAAAAUGAGAAAUUUAAAAACAUUCCAGGCAUUGAGGGGUAAGUUGAAUUUACAAGUUGAGAGAUAUCUUCACGAGUCUUUUUUCUUUCAGCAGUGGGAGGUAAUAAAGCAUAGUGAGGAGGAUAGUCGCUGGAUUCAGACUGCUUGAGUUUGAAGCCCUGCUUUGCCCCAUAAUACCUGUGUGACCUUGGGUGUGGAGAGUUUAAGUUACUGCAUUGUAUUGCUGCCUUGGCAUCCAUUUUGUUCAGCCAAGUGGUUUGCUGGGACCUUAAAAUGACACUAUCCCCCUCAUGCAAGCACGUGCCUUAGAUAGCCCACGGAGUCACAAACAAAUGUAAGUUCCUGAUAUGACUUCCCCAGCAACCCUCGUGAUCAGCUGCCUCCCAGCACCUGUAUGCUGUAUGGGCCCCCUAGAAAAGACCCCUGGGGCUUACCAAAAACCUACUCUUUCGGUUUAAAUUGAUCUAUCUUGUCCUAGCCUAGGAACCCAAAGUACUCCACCCACAGACCCUAAUAAAGGUAUGUGCCCCAGGUCCUGUCUUUCUAUCUGCACUCUGCCUUGACCUCCCCGUGUGGCUCUUCCAGUACCUAUUGCCUGCUUCUUGAUUGGGAGACCCUCUGAGUCCAACUGUGCAUAGCUCUGAUGAACAUACACCAGUAGAGGAUGAAGAGCCAAAGAAAAGCACCACUUCAGCUUCUACUUCAGAAGAAGAAAAGAAGAAGAAGAAGUCUAGUCAUUCAAAAGAAAGGUCCAAGAAAAGGAGAAAGAAAAAAUCAUCUAAAAGAAAACACAAGAAGUAUUCUGACGAUAGUGACAGUGACUCUGAUUCCGAAACAGACUCCAGUGUGACUGCAGGAUACAUCUUAGAGAUGAGGAAAGAGAGGCACAGAGCAGAUUAUAUAAUCACUAGAUGAACACCGAAUUAUACAACUAUACACACAUGCAGACACACACAUACAAAUGAUAGGGAGAAAAAGGAUGAUAACUAUGAAGAAGGAGAAAGAAACAGGAGAGAAGAGUCUUUGCAACUCAGAGAUUUCCAGAGAAACUCUACAGACAGUGCUUCAGACAGAACAGAGUAUGUUGCUGUUCUGUUUCUCAAUCCACAUCUAAGACCACCAAUUGGGAAACUGAAGCUUGGAAUGAUGAUGAGCCUUGCUCAGUGUCACGUGACAAGAAUACGGGCGAAGUUCUCGCUAUGAG
Pteropus alecto (black flying fox) is the source of this 1442-nucleotide long non-coding RNA. RefSeq lists it as uncharacterized. The record is from RefSeq and is a predicted model, not a curated record. The transcript is spliced from 7 exons. Lineage: Eukaryota; Metazoa; Chordata; Mammalia; Chiroptera; Pteropodidae.